RNAcentral lists this long non-coding RNA (6235 nucleotides) under Brassica napus (rape). RNAcentral describes it as "long non-coding RNA (BNAP_LNC022494)". Lineage: Eukaryota; Viridiplantae; Streptophyta; Magnoliopsida; Brassicales; Brassicaceae. The record is from RNAcentral.
UCCGUCGUCCCUAGCUCAGCGUUCAGAAAAGCCCAAAUCUGAGAUUUCGUUCUUUCACCGGCUCCCCCGCUGCAGUCACCAUCACGAACAGACUUGGCAAACUCCAUAGGCUAUCGCAUCUACUUUCAGCACAGUCUAUUCUUCAUGGUUCUCAGUCACCACUCCACCAUAACCUCUGCUCGCGCAACUCGUACUCGCUUUCCAGAUCUGAGAGCAUGUGCUCCACCACCACGAAGAGGUCUUUCGGUGUCGACACCACCAAACGCUUCGCCUCUGACACAUCUUGCCGUCUCGCAACAGCGGCCCAGCUCCCACGACACAUCAAUGGAUCCGUGCUCAGCCUUGACGACGAGUCUCACCGGACUUCAUCUUUUUCCGACGGGAAAACUGAUUACGGCGCAUGUGGUCUCACUGCUCACCACAAAACCCUAAUCUCUUUUUGGGCCUUAUCUAAAUGGGUUUUCUCUACAAGUGACUUGGCCACAAAUGUUCUCACAAGCUCUGGCCCAUUUCUCAAGAUCAAGCGUCGAAGGCAGCGACACCAUGGUUUCGUCCGACAAAUCCCUCCGGCUAAGUUCGUUUCAGUGCCAAAUUCACAAUCGGAGAUGAAAAGAAUUUCAAUCACCUCGCCAUCUCGCUUACCGAUCUUUUUGCUACCCGGAUCUAUUGAGAUUCACCUAGUCUCCCGGGGCAACAAAGACGGUUAUAGAGCUGUUCUCUUUCGUUUGAUGGGUGCGCUAGCCUCACUCGGCUCUCCACCCAUCUUCAAACCCCUUUCACUAGGGUAUUUCAAUGUCUUUUUAGACUAUUUAAAGCUUUCUCGGGCUGUGGUUUCAAGGAUUCAAGUGAAGAUUAUCUGCGGAUCUCUCUACUUCGAGCUAGUCUCUCCUUUUAACACUUCUAUCCUCUGUUUAUUGUUUUCAUGUUAUUGUUGUUCAUCUUACCGUCGAGCAUACCUCCGGUUAAAAUCGUUGUAACGCCUUAGAUUUGAAUUAAUGAAAUUUGUGACAAAAAAAAAGGAUUCUAAAAUACAUAUAUGUAUAUAUAUACAUUAUUAUGUGUAUGUAAUUGCGAGGUUCUAAACUUUACGGAAAACUCAAUCCAAAAUAUUUUUGUGGAGUAUUUUGGAUUACAUUUUUUGUAAAGUUUAGAACCUCGGAAUUAUAUAUAUAUAUAUAUAUAUUUAGAAUUCUUAAGCUAAAACUUCCCAUUAGGGAUGCUCUAAAGCUUUUCCAACGUUCGUAUUCGAACACCUAAACAUUCUUAAAACUUCGAAACCAUUCCACCACUCAUUGCACACCGAGCGAUUGACAUUUUACAAUCCUCUUUGAUUGCACUACCCACUAAUCUAUUGACGUGGAAGCAUGCACACAUGUACGGUACAGAUCAGAACACCUUGCCUUCUCCAGAUAUGGAAAGCGAGGAUUUUGGACAGGACAUGCUUCGCGCAUUACGACAGAACAAAUUACUCAAAAGGUGUUAGGUAUGUUAUGGGCCCACCUUAAAAGCAAUAUUUUAUCGUAUUGCUACUCUGUGGUCCCCAUUUCUAAUUAGGUCUCUGCUACUUGUCGAUGGAAGAAGGAAUAUCACAACAAUGAUUUCAAAGGUAAGAAAUCUUCCAAUUCGAAUUCGCUCAAUACUACAAUGGGCGGUGUGUUAUUUAAUUGUAUUUUAACAUUUAGUUUGAUAAAUACCAAGUUUACUUUUUAUGGGAAUUACAAAUUAUUGUCGAUUGAGUCAUUUUAUAAUUAUUAUGAAGAGGCAUUUUGUACGGGACCAUACGCUCUUGAAUCUUGAUAUGUAUCAUACGUGAUAGAAUUUUGAACGUGGCAUGAUAUUAGAGGGGGUUCAUAGUUGGCUAUAUUUGCAGUUACGAGCUCGAUGAUUGUAAGUCAACUAUCAUUUGAAUUUGUUCACAUUAUAGAGAUAGAGAUAGUAAAAAAUUCAUAUUUAUAUUAUACACGUAAAAACUCGUUAGGGUUUUACUACUUAUAAAGUGAGUUGGCGUACUUUGAGUAGCCUAUGGUUUGUAUAGCGAAUAUGUUUCGAGGUAGACUGCUUAUAUACCCCCUUUACACAUAUGAUGAUAAUUUUGGCUCAAUAAUAAUAGAUCAAGUCUACCUCUUUUAUACUUUCUAGUAAAAGAAAAGUGGAUAUAAAUAACUACUACUAUAUUCAAACGUUUAUACAUUUCUAUUUAGUAAUUACGAGUUGAUAUAAUCAUUAAAUAUUAUUUACAGUGACUAAUCUUACUCUAUAUAUAUAUACAUAUAUUUAUUCUCAUUUCAUAAAAUAUUAACACAUACCAAAAAUGAUCAAAGUAUAUACACAUUAGUAAAUACCAUGUAUAGUAUUAAUCUAACACAUCUCCGUUCAUAAAGUAUGAUUUUAAAUUUUUUAAUACAUAUUAUAAAAAUCAUCAAACAUAUCCUUUUAAUUCAUAUGUCAUUUUAAGAGCUGCACCAUUAAAACUAAAAUUAUUAUUAUAUUAUAUCUCUUUUGAAAUAUUUAAUAUAAUUUUGCAUGUAAAUAUAUCAUCGAAAUCAUAUCUUAAAUUGUAAGAUCAAAUUAUCAAAACUAGUUUAAAGUUGGGAGAAUUCUACUUUUACCAAAAAUUUAAUAUCAUUUUUUAAAUUUAUUUCUAAAAAUGACUACUUUAUAAAUAUCCUAAAUUUGUGAUUAAAAAUAUUAAACUAACACUCCUAAAUCAUUUAUAAAUGUUUAAGAAUUAUUUAUAGAAGUUUAUAAACUCAAUCUCACCUCAUAAAUACUAAACUCUAAACAAUAAUCACUAAACUAUAAACCCAAAUGCUAUGAUAUUUUUGAAAAUUGGUAUCCAGUUAAUGGCAUUUAAAGUCAUUUCUCUUAGAGUUGAAUAAUAUCUAUUAAUAAAUAUGUAUCAGUUUGUUCACUGUAAAUUAGUUUAGAGUUGAAAAAAUAUAAAACUUAACAUAGUAUCAAUAUUCAAUUACACACUGUCUAAGUGGAUACACAAAUCGGUAUCUCUUACAAAAUAGUUCCAUCUGCCGAGUCCAAAACUAGUUCUACCCAGGGCGGACACAAGUAAGGGAAGGGUGUGGCAUGGGUUCCAUCCUAAUUUUUCUUUCGGAGUUGUUUUUUGGUAUAAAAUUUGUUAAAUAUCUUUAAUUUAAUUUGUUAUUGCACUAUGGAUCCUUUUGCUUAGAACAAUUCUUUCAAAUAGUUCUUUUUAAGUUUUUGUCACAAAAUAACAUUCAAAAAAGAAAAUGACUAAAAUAGUCUUUUUUUUAUUUUAAAAUUUUUAAUAUUUAUUUUGUAUUUUUUCAAAUUUGAAACCAUAUUCUCAAAUUCUGCCCAUUAACUCUAAAUUCUAAGUCUAGAUUAGUUAGUUAUAGGGUAAAAAUGUAUUUUUAUCUUUUAAUAAAACUUAUUUUGGUCAUAUUUUUUUCAUUGAUAGCUAUUUUUGUGAAAAUAAACUAAAAAUGACUCUACAAGAGAAAUUUUUUUUAGUUUAGAUAUACUUAUACUAACUAUUUAUAGCAUUUUGUGUCCCAUAUUUUCUGAACUUCUAGGUCCGCCCCUGGCACUACAAGAAAACAGCGACAUACUGAGUGAAAAAAUCGUCGGUAUGUCGUCGGAAUAACGUUAUUCCGACGACAUACCGACGAAACAAGUCCUCGGAAAUAACUCCUCGGAAAUUCCAUUUUCCUCGGAAAUCCCUCGGAAUUUUCCGACGGAAUUCCGAGGAACAAAUUUUCGAGGAAACUCCGAGGACCACCAGUUCGUCGGAAAGCUCCUCGGAAUAUACCGAGGGAGAACUUCCUCGGGAUAUUUCGAUGGACGUUCAUCGAUCGAUGCGUUUNNNNNNNNNNNNNNNNNNNNNNNNNNNNNNNNNNNNNNNNNNNNNNNNNNNNNNNNNNNNNNNNNNNNNNNNNNNNNNNNNNNNNNNNNNNNNNNNNNNNNNNNNNNNNNNNNNNNNNNNNNNNNNNNNNNNNNNNNNNNNNCAAGUCCUGUUCGGAUUCCACCUAACUAACACAUAUUAUAUAUAUUUUUUUCUUUUUUUCUUUUUCGUUUUUUUUUUCUACCUAUAAAUCUAGGGUCGAAAUAGAAAGAGAAAAUGUGAUAAAUCUACGGAAAGCUUUAUUCAAAAAAUUUCAAAUCCAAUCCCAUAAAAUAAAGAGAAACCAGAAUAUCUCAAUACACACUUCUAAAUUGUUGAGUUUUAUAUAUUCCCAAACACGGCACAUUAUCUCUUCGCAAGUUUGACCAGCUAGAAGCUGCGACUUGAAUCCAUAGCUUGAGAGGAUAUUAAAUUAUUAACACAUGUGCGGUUGAACUAACUAUAUGUAAAACUUAACAGGAAUUUUGCUGUUAUUGAUACCGAUUUCAUCGUAUAUAAGAUAGCAGGAAUUGCAGUUAUUGAUACCAAUUUCAUCAUAUAUAAGAUAAAAGGAAUUUGCAGAGCCUGAAACCUAUAACCCUAACAACAAUGAGAGGACUGAAUAUGACUGUAUAUAUAUAAGCUGCACCACGCCACCCCCACCCCUGGUACAGCCAGAAGUACGAAAUAGAUUCCAAAGAGCUUAUAACCACCCGUCUCAUGGUAAACUCAGGUAAAAAUCUUCGGAGAGGCUUUACCUUUAAGGAACAUCGUAGAGACAAAUCCUUGAAUAUGAUGCAAUGCGAGGCCAAUUGUCGGAGAUACAACUCCAUGUCAUGGACUUUCAAGCUCUGUUACUGAAAAUUCAUCCCAAGAAGCUAAAAAGUCUAUUAUUUCACUCACUCUUAACAUCUAUGAAUCUCACAGGUUUGAUCCCUACCAAAAUCAGAGACUUUUUGGAGCUUGAAGUUCUAUUUUUUUCACCAGCAAAUCUCUCUCCGGUGAUUGCGAAUAUUGUCACUAAAGGUCUCGCUGUGACAAAUCUCUCUGGUAAACUUUUGGCGAAACCUGAAACACGUUCAGAAAUUAGCUAAUUGGUCACUGAGGUUGACAGGUAACAUUGAAAAGAGUUUUAAAGAUGUUCUUAAACCUUUGUCGGGAAAUCUUGUAGCAUCCUCCUUCUGCAAGGACCUUAGUACAAUGUGCAAUGCUUCCCAUAGCAGCAUCCGAAAACCCGGUGCACUUUUCACUGAUCAAAACAAAAGAUCGAUUAUAAGAGAGAUCACUCAAAGUUCCAAAGAAUAAACCUUUUAAUGGGCCAUUAAUCUGACAUGGACCAAAAGACAAAAAAAAAAAUCUCUUACCACAUUUUAACCUAUAUGCACCAGAGAUUCCCGAGGCAGUGGUCAGGUGCUCGCUUUCUCUCCCAACGCGAUUCCCGAGACCGGUUUGUUUUCACCCAUCUCUGACGCCGGAGGAGCCUGAGCUCGCCGGCGUCGGGACUCUUCGCCUCAUCCCUGUACUUCUGUUGCAUUUCUAGUCUUUGGUCCGACGAUGACUUCUCUCUGCACUGUCAGUCACUCCAUGUUUGUGCUUAUCAGUUGGUUUUGUUUCGGCUCCGCCGCCGGACUCACGGAUCUAUGCCGGUGCCGCCUCCUCUGUGUAUUGCUGCUCAUCUGUAGUCCUCUACCGGCUUUCUCCGUUGUUCCUAGCUCAGCGUUCAUAAAAGCUCCAAAUCUGAGAUUUCGUUCUUUCACCGGCUCCCCCGCUGCAGUCACCAUCACGAACAGACUUGGCAAACUCCAUAGGCUAUCACAUCUACUUUCAGCACAGUCUAUUCUCCAUGGUUCUCGGUCACCACUCCACCGUAACCUCUGCUCGCGCAACUCGUACUCGCUUUCCAGAUCUGAGAGCAUGUGCUCCAUCACCGCGAAGAGGUCUCUCGGUGUCGACACCACCAAACGCUUCGCCUCUGACACAUCUUGCCGUCUCGCAACAGCGGCCCAGCUCCCACGACACAUCAAUGGAUCCGUGCUCAGCCUUGACGACGAGUCUCACCGGACUUCAUCUUUUUCCGACGGGAAAACUGAUUACGGCGCAUGUGGUCUCACUGCUCACCACAAAACCCUAAUCUCUUUUUGGGCCUUAUCUAAAUGGGUUUUCUCUACAAGUGACUUGGCCACAAAUGUUCUCACAAGCUCUGGCCCAUUUCUCAAGAUCAAGCGUCGAAGGCAGCGACACCAUGGUUUCGUCCGACAAAUCCCUCCGGCUAAGUUCGUUUCAGUGCCAAAUUCACAAUCGGAGAUGAAAAGAAUUUCAAUCACCUCGCCAUCUCGCUUACCGAUCUUUUUGCUACCCGGAUCUAUUGAGAUUCAC